GAUGAACGCUGGCGGCGUGCCUAAUACAUGCAAGUCGAGCGAACAGACGAGGAGCUUGCUCCUUUGACGUUAGCGGCGGACGGGUGAGUAACACGUAGGUAACCUACCUAUAAGACUGGGAUAACUUCGGGAAACCGGAGCUAAUACCGGAUAAUAUUUCGAACCGCAUGGUUCGAUAGUGAAAGAUGGCUUUGCUAUCACUUAUAGAUGGACCUGCGCCGUAUUAGCUAGUUGGUAAGGUAACGGCUUACCAAGGCAACGAUACGUAGCCGACCUGAGAGGGUGAUCGGCCACACUGGAACUGAGACACGGUCCAGACUCCUACGGGAGGCAGCAGUAGGGAAUCUUCCGCAAUGGGCGAAAGCCUGACGGAGCAACGCCGCGUGAGUGAUGAAGGUCUUCGGAUCGUAAAACUCUGUUAUUAGGGAAGAACAAACGUGUAAGUAACUGCGCACGUCUUGACGGUACCUAAUCAGAAAGCCACGGCUAACUACGUG
Molecule: ribosomal RNA, 497 nt
Filed under: uncultured bacterium
Lineage: Bacteria
Description: partial 16S ribosomal RNA
Rfam family: Bacterial small subunit ribosomal RNA
Source: RNAcentral